AGAGACAGAGAGAGAGAAAGGGGAGAGAGUUGGAUAGCAAGAUAGAGAUAGAGAGACAGAGAGAGACAGAGCGAGAGUAAGAGAGUUUUCUUCAAACAACAGUGAUGGAAACGUUGUUGUAUCUCACCCUGCUAAUCUCAGGAUUCUACACACCUUCCUCAAGCCUUCAUCAGUAUCACCUCAUUACCAACCCUAUGACCUGGACUGAUGCCCAGAGUUACUGCAGAGCACAUUACACUGAUCUGGCUACAGUAGAUGACAUGGAGGACCAGAACAGGCUGAGUACCAGUGUCAGUAGUUAUAAUUCCUGGUUAUGGAUUGGACUGAAGAAGGGAGACUCCAUGAAGUGGUCUCUGGCAGACAGACGUUUCUACAGAGAGGGGGAGACUGAGUUCAGAAACUGGGACACUGGGACACCCCAAAAUGGUAACUGUGCUUUAAUGAGUACAGCUGGGCUGUGGAACAACGCCUCCUGUGAUGACCAGCAUCACUUCCUCUGUUA
Non-coding RNA from Oncorhynchus mykiss (rainbow trout), 502 nucleotides. The record is from RefSeq and is a predicted model, not a curated record. NCBI's taxonomy places the organism in Eukaryota, Metazoa, Chordata, Actinopteri, Salmoniformes, Salmonidae.